This 443-nucleotide ribosomal RNA is filed under the name uncultured bacterium. Its description in RNAcentral is "partial 16S ribosomal RNA". It matches the Rfam family "Bacterial small subunit ribosomal RNA", at positions 355 to 790 of the family's 1533-position model. The record is from RNAcentral.
UAGGGAAUCUUCCACAAUGGACGCAAGUCUGAUGGAGCAACGCCGCGUGAGUGAAGAAGGCUUUCGGGUCGUAAAACUCUGUUAUUGAAGAAGAACGUGUGUGACAGUAACUGGUCAUGCAGUGACGGUAUUCAAUCAGAAAGUCACGGCUAACUACGUGCCAGCAGCCGCGGUAAUACGUAGGUGGCAAGCGUUGUCCGGAUUUAUUGGGCGUAAAGCGAGUGCAGGCGGUCUUUUAAGUCUGAUGUGAAAGCCUUCGGCUUAACCGAAGAAGGGCAUCGGAAACUGGGAGACUUGAGUGCAGAAGAGGAGAGUGGAACUCCAUGUGUAGCGGUGAAAUGCGUAGAUAUAUGGAAGAACACCAGUGGCGAAGGCGGCUCUCUGGUCUGUAACUGACGCUGAGGCUCGAAAGCGUGGGUAGCAAACAGGAUUAGAUACCCUGG